RNAcentral lists this ribosomal RNA (406 nucleotides) under uncultured bacterium. RNAcentral's name for it is "partial 16S ribosomal RNA". It matches the Rfam family "Bacterial small subunit ribosomal RNA", at positions 30 to 526 of the family's 1533-position model. The record is from RNAcentral.
AUUGAACGCUGGCGGCAGGCCUAACACAUGCAAGUCGAACGAGUGGCGGACGGGUGAGUAAUGUCUGGGAAACUGCCUGCUGGCUGGGGAUAACUACUGGAAACGGUAGCUAAUACCGCAUACCAUCGGAUGUUCCCAGAUGGGAUUAGCUAGUAGGUGGGGUAAAGGCUCACCUAGGCCACGAUCCCUAGCUGGUCUGAGAGGAUGACCAGCCACACUGGAACUGAGACACGGUCCAGACGCCUACGGGAGGCAGCAGUGGGGAAUAUUGCACAAUGGGCGCAAGCCUGAUGCAGCCAUGCCGCGUGUAUGAAGAAGGCCUUCGGGUUGUAAAGUACUUUCAGCGGGGAGGCGUUACCCGCAGAAGAAGCACCGGCUAACUCCGUGCCAGCCGCCGCGGUAAUAC